Molecule: unclassified non-coding RNA, 333 nt
Filed under: Nocardia farcinica
Lineage: Bacteria; Bacillati; Actinomycetota; Actinomycetes; Mycobacteriales; Nocardiaceae
Description: 16S-23S ribosomal RNA intergenic spacer
Source: RNAcentral
CUAAGGAGCACUUCUCCACGAUGCGUCACACAAGUGAUUGUGGUCGUGGCAGAGGCCAUUUCGGACUCGAAUGUAGUCCGGUGGUUGCUCAUGGGUGGAACGCUGACAUGUGCCGCUGGCUUCGGUUGGUGGAUGUAGUCGACACACUGUUGGGUCCUGAAAGAACAGACGUUCUUUCCAGGCAAGAGAUACGAUCCGCUCGGGUCUUCGGUCAUACCGGCUUCGCCUUUCGGGGUGGGGUGCUGGUGCCGAGUCGAGGUUUGAGUGGGUGUGUUGUUUGAGAACUGCACAGUGGACGCGAGCAUCUUUGUUUGUAAGUGUUUAAGAGCGUUC